UACGUAGGGUGCGAGCGUUAAUCGGAAUUACUGGGCGUAAAGCGUGCGCAGGCGGUGAUGUAAGACAGAUGUGAAAUCCCCGGGCUCAACCUGGGAACUGCAUUUGUGACUGCAUCGCUGGAGUGCGGCAGAGGGGGAUGGAAUUCCGCGUGUAGCAGUGAAAUGCGUAGAUAUGCGGAGGAACACCGAUGGCGAAGGCAAUCCCCUGGACCUGCACUGACGCUCAGGCACGAAAGCGUGGGGAGCAAACAGG
RNAcentral lists this ribosomal RNA (253 nucleotides) under uncultured bacterium. RNAcentral's name for it is "partial 16S ribosomal RNA". It matches the Rfam family "Bacterial small subunit ribosomal RNA", at positions 524 to 776 of the family's 1533-position model. The record is from RNAcentral.